CCUACGGGGGGCAGCAGUGAGGAAUAUUGGUCAAUGGCCGGAAGGCUGAACCAGCCAAGCCGCGUGAAGGACGAAGGUGCCAAGCAUUGUAAACUUCUUUUGUCAAGGGACAAAAUCAGGCUCGAGAGCCUGACCGAGGGUACUUGAAGAAAAAGCAUCGGCUAACUCCGUGCCAGCAGCCGCGGUAAUACGGAGGAUGCGAGCGUUAUCCGGAUUUAUUGGGUUUAAAGGGUGCGUAGGCGGACUGUUAAGUCAGCGGUAAAAGCCCGGGGCUCAACCCCGGCGAGCCGUGGAAACUGGCGGUCUUGAGAUGUCGGGAGGUAUGCGGAAUGCGCAGUGUAGCGGUGAAAUGCUUAGAUAUUGCGCAGAACUCCGAUUGCGAAGGCAGCAUACCGGCGGCGAUCUGACGCUGAGGCACGAAAGCGUGGGUAUCGAACAGGAUUAGAUACCCGGGUAGUC
Molecule: ribosomal RNA, 459 nt
Filed under: uncultured bacterium
Lineage: Bacteria
Description: partial 16S ribosomal RNA
Rfam family: Bacterial small subunit ribosomal RNA
Source: RNAcentral